GUGCUCAUGUUUACAACCUGUACUGACAGAACAGUAGAGAUUAGCAUGACCCUUGUACAACGAUGACACAAAAAAUUCAAUAAGCUUCUAUAUUCAACGAAU
Molecule: small nuclear RNA, 102 nt
Filed under: Mus caroli (Ryukyu mouse)
Lineage: Eukaryota; Metazoa; Chordata; Mammalia; Rodentia; Muridae
Description: snRNA (MGP_CAROLIEiJ_G0035253.1)
Source: RNAcentral